This 253-nucleotide ribosomal RNA is filed under the name uncultured bacterium. Its description in RNAcentral is "partial 16S ribosomal RNA". It matches the Rfam family "Bacterial small subunit ribosomal RNA", at positions 524 to 776 of the family's 1533-position model. The record is from RNAcentral.
UACGUAGGGGGCGAGCGUUGUCCGGAAUUAUUGGGCGUAAAGGGCGCGUAGGCGGGUAUUUAAGUCCGGUGUGAAAGAUCAGGGCUCAACCCUGAGAGUGCAUCGGAAACUGGGUAUCUUGAGGACAGGAGAGGAAAGUGGAAUUCCACGUGUAGCGGUGAAAUGCGUAGAUAUGUGGAGGAACACCAGUGGCGAAGGCGACUUUCUGGACUGUAACUGACGCUGAGGCGCGAAAGCGUGGGGAGCAAACAGG